Dromiciops gliroides (monito del monte) is the source of this 885-nucleotide long non-coding RNA. RefSeq lists it as uncharacterized. The transcript has 3 exons. The record is from RefSeq and is a predicted model, not a curated record. NCBI's taxonomy places the organism in Eukaryota, Metazoa, Chordata, Mammalia, Microbiotheria, Microbiotheriidae.
CCCUUCUUCUUCUCCUCCUCCUUCUUCCCCGGUCCCUCUCCUCUCCGCUCCGCUCCUCUCCCCAGCCUGAAUAAGCAUCGGGGCUCUGGCUGCCUCCUUCUGCCUUCAUACCAGAGCCCGGAGAGGCCCCUGUCAAAAUAAGAGCUCCACCAUCUCGCUCGCCUUCUCGCCCAGGCCGGCUCCCCCAAGCCUCCCAGUGGUCUGACUCGAUGGAUGGAAGGAAGAGAUAUAUUAACUACAUAUUUCUGUAGCAAUAUGGAUGAAACAUCCUGCAGUACAGAAGCCUUCUGAUUGGUUGAGAGUGAGCUGGGGAAUGUAGAAUGAGUGACUCCACUUCCUCAGCAUCCCACAGGCUGUAGGUGUAGCCACCAUCUGUAGCUCAAGAAGUUCCUUCCAAGGCUGGGACAUAGAAGCUGAAGGAAACCCCAAAAGACCAAUAUGGAAGUCCAAACACUGGCCUUGCCCAAUAAAGAAUUUCAUAGGGAGAUGUUUAAGGAUCAGACAACAUUCUCAUGCAAUGCCUACAUCAACUAAAAUCUUUUAAUUUGUGGGAGGCACCCUGAGGUAGAGGAAAGAUGGUGGACUGUGUGACUUGGGCAAGGUAUUUAAUCUCUCUGGGCCUCCAUUUUCUCUCACAUCCUUUUCAACCCUAACAGUUUAUAUAUACAUCUAUGAAAUUUCCAGAGGAUGAAGAUCAUUUACACUGCUAAGCAUGUAUGCCUUACCCCUGGAGGCUCUGAUUUACAAGGAGUUAGUUGAAAGGCAAUAGAGAAGAGAAGCUGGAUGUUGCAGUGGAUAGAGCACCAGCCCUAGAAUCAGGAGGACCUGAGUUCAAAUGUGGCUUCAGAUGCUUAGUACCUGUGUGACCCUGGGCAAGUCACUUAA